CCUACGGGAGGCAGCAGUGAGGAAUAUUGGACAAUGGUCGAAAGACUGAUCCAGCCAUGCCGCGUGCAGGAAGACGGCCCUAUGGGUUGUAAACUGCUUUUGUUUGGGAAGAAACCUUUCUACGUGUAGAAAGCUGACGGUACCAUACGAAUAAGCACCGGCUAACUCCGUGCCAGCAGCCGCGGUAAUACGGAGGGUGCAAGCGUUAUCCGGAUUUAUUGGGUUUAAAGGGUCCGUAGGCGGACUUAUAAGUCAGUGGUGAAAUCCUGCAGCUCAACUGUAGAACUGCCAUUGAUACUGUAAGUCUUGAAUUCGGUUGAAGUGGGCGGAAUAUGGCAUGUAGCGGUGAAAUGCUUAGAUAUGCCAUAGAACACCGAUUGCGUAGGCAGCUCACUAAGCCUGGAUUGACGCUGAGGGACGAAAGCGUGGGUAGCGAACAGGAUUAGAUACCCUGGUAGUCCACGCCGUAAACCGAUGAUUACUCGACAUUAGAGAUACCACGGUUAGUGUUCAUAGACGAAGACAUUAAGUUAAUACCACCGUCGGGUAGGUACGUUACGUCGACGAAGUAGAAACGUUAAAGUUAAGUUAGUAGACGUGAGAGAGACGACGACGACGACGACGGAGGGAGGAGG
RNAcentral lists this ribosomal RNA (635 nucleotides) under uncultured bacterium. RNAcentral describes it as "bacterial SSU rRNA". The stretch from base 1 to 541 matches the Rfam family "Bacterial small subunit ribosomal RNA", at positions 338 to 873 of the family's 1533-position model. The record is from RNAcentral.